Long non-coding RNA from Pecten maximus, 229 nucleotides. RefSeq lists it as uncharacterized. Lineage: Eukaryota; Metazoa; Mollusca; Bivalvia; Pectinida; Pectinidae. The transcript is spliced from 3 exons. The record is from RefSeq and is a predicted model, not a curated record.
UGAGGUAGUGUACUGACUGGGUGAGGUAGUGUACUUACUGACUGGGUGAGGUAGUGUACUUACUGACUGGGUGAGGUAGUGUACUUACUGACUGGGUGAGGUAGUGUACUUACUGACUGGGUGAGGUAGUGUACUUACUGACUGGGUGAGGUAGUGUACUUACUGACUGGGUGAGGUAGUGUACUUACUGACUGGGUGAGGUACAAACACAGCUCCUGGCCUUUGGAAU